AGAAAUGCUAGAUCUAAGGACGACCCAGGAAGUAAGGCUGAGAAAAUUUAGUGGUUUAAUAUGUCUGUGAGUUAACCUAAUGUGCUAUCACUGAAAGAGAUCUAUGAGGAAGAGGGAGGUAGAAAAAGAACAAGGAGACUACAGUGUCAUAGAAGUCAACAGAGGAGACAAUUUUAAAUAGCAGUGGAGGUCAACAGUAUGAAAUGUUAUGGAAAGGUCAAGUAAGUUAGGGACAGAAAUAUGUUUAUUUAGGUCUGAUAUUUGUAAGGCUUUAGACAUUUUGGUAAAAGCAGUGUAAGCAGUUUUAAUGAAUGGUAGAGGUUACCCCAAAACAGGGAAAUAAAUCUCAGAAAAGGCACAGAACUAAUCCUCCAUCCCUCAGAAUCUACUUGGGUGGGGAUGGACAUUCCUAACCACCAUAUGGGCGCAUGACCCAGAACUGGUCAAUCAGAGGAUUCCAUUCCUUUGGCUACAGCAAAGAUUCAAUGAUGAGCCCAUAACCCAAACCAGACCAUGGAGACACAAUCCUUUGAUACACACCUGGAGAUGCUGGAGACCACCAUAUGCAGAACACCUGCCUGGAAAUAAGGCUAACACAGAGGAAAGCAGAACUGAGAGAUGGAGAGGAGAGAAGAGAAGAGAAGAGGAGACUAGGUUCUAAUGACAUCAUUCAAACACCUGAAGCCAGCCAUACUCACAUACUUUUCAGUAAAAUGAACCAAUUGAUCCUCUUUAUUUUUACUUAAUCCAUAUGAAAUGGUUUUCUGCUUCUUCUAACCUAAAGAGCCCUGUUUGAUACAGCAGGUAAAGUGGUGUUGGAAGCAAACGAGUUCCAGCGCAGCCUUGCCUAGGGCCCGUUCUGAUCACAGAUUGCCAAGUUUGCCUCAUCCCCCACUCCCAUUCAGUCAACUAGCAGUUUUGAGUCCUUAUCAUCCAACUCCCUCAGGGGACUGAUUCAUUAAGAAGUUGUAAGGAACCUCAGAG
This 984-nucleotide long non-coding RNA is filed under the name Equus asinus (donkey). RNAcentral describes it as "lncRNA (ENSEASG00005031032.1)". Lineage: Eukaryota; Metazoa; Chordata; Mammalia; Perissodactyla; Equidae. The record is from RNAcentral.